UGGCGACAGAUGUUAGCUCAGGUGCCGAUCUAAAAAGAACAAAGCAAAAACCAAUGAGUACCUAGGUACACACAGAAGAUCACUGCUACAUCACUGAAGAUCAGUGCUACAAGGAUUCAGCAUACACCCCCAGAGAGAAAGCCAGCUUGAGAGUUGGCUAGCUGGCAGUGCUUUUUCCUGACAGAAGACUGGAGGAAGGAAGAAGUUUUGGGCUGGGAACCGAGAGUUCAGUUCUGAGCAAGUUAAAUUUGAGAUGCCCGUGAGACACCCAGCAGAAAUGUCAAGCGGGUAGUUGGAUACAUGAGUCUGGAGCUCAGGGAUACGGUCCAGGAUAGAGAUAUAAAUUUGGGAAUUAGGAGAGUACAGAAGAUAUUUAAAGCCUGAGUCUGGAAGAGCUCACCUAGGAAAUGCAUGUAGACAGAGAAGAGGAUCAAGGACUGAGGCCCGAGCCAGUCAACAUUUAGAGGGUGAGCAGUGGACAAAGUGCCAGAGAGACACGGUGGGAAUGGCAGAGGAGGCGGCAAAGCCCGCAGUGAUGUUAGGGAAGCCAGGAGCACGAAGUUGGAGGAAGAUCAGCUGCUGAAGACAGGAGAGCCACCAUUGGGCUGGCAACAUGGAAGUGACUUCCAAGAGCAUCUUCAGUGGAGCCGCGGGAUGGAUAUCAGCCUGGAGAGGACUGAAGGGUGUCUGGGAGCUGAGGGAGCAGGGGCACUGAGUGCAGGCCAACUGGUGAAGAAGUUCAGACAUGAAGGGCAGCCGCUGAAGGGAAGGUUACACAGUCUCUGAGAGAAGAGGAAACAUGUUUGUCCAAUACAUAUGCAAAGGGAUAGCCAGCUUCGUUAGCGAUCAGGCAAAUGCAGGCUAAGGUACGAGACACCAUUUUACAUCCAUUCCAUUGGGGACAUUUUUUAAGUCUGACAAUACCAAGUGUUGGGGAAAAUGUCGAUCCACCCAGUCUCUUAUACACUGCUGGUGGGAUUGUCAUCAGUGCAACCAUUUUGGGAAACAGUCUGGCACUAUCUCAUGAAGCUGAACAUUCACAGACCCUAUGCCCAGCCAUUCCACUUCUCGCUCAUGUGUCGCAGAGACAUGAACAAGAACAUUCACAGCGGCAGUAGUCACAGUAGCAAAAACCUAGAAACAGUCCAAAUGCCUUGAAAGGAGAGUGGACGAAUAAACUGCAGCCUAUUCACCAACAGUGUUACAGAAGUCAAAGGAAGGAGCCUUAGAGACACGCAGCAGGGCUGAUGAAUCUUAGAUUGUGAUACUAAGUUUUUUAAAAAGUCCAAAAAGUUUACAUACAUCUAAACACCCUUUUUGUAAAGUAAAAAACAAGUAAAAUAAAUUAUAAAUACAUUUUAGGAAUAGAUUUGGAUGUGAUAAAAACUAUAUGAAAGAAGACAUACAAAUGGUCAACAGGCACAUGAAAAGAUGCUUCUUAACAUCGCUAAUCAUAAGAGAAACGCAAAUCAAAACCACACUGAGAUAAUCACUUCACACCUGUUAGGAUGGCUAUUAUCAGAAAAACAAGCAACAAUAUGUGUUGGCAAGGUUGUGGAAGAUUGGACCCUCUUACUCUGUCGGUGAGAGUGCAAAAUGGUGCAGCUGCUAUGGAAAAUAGCAUGGAGGUUCCUCGAAAAAUUAAAAAUAGAACUACCAUAUGAUCCAGCAAUCCCACUUCUGGGUAUUUAUUCAAAAGAGUUGAAAACAAGAUCUCUGAGAGAUAUUAGUGCUCCCGUGUUCAUUGCAGCACUGUUCACAAUUGCCAAGAUAGGGAAACAAAUGUCCAUCAAUGGAUGAAUGGAUAAAGGAGAUAUGGUAUAAACAUA
This is a long non-coding RNA of Equus caballus (horse), 1829 nucleotides long. RefSeq lists it as uncharacterized. NCBI's taxonomy places the organism in Eukaryota, Metazoa, Chordata, Mammalia, Perissodactyla, Equidae. The record is from RefSeq and is a predicted model, not a curated record.